Long non-coding RNA from Grus americana (Whooping crane), 4904 nucleotides. RefSeq lists it as uncharacterized. NCBI's taxonomy places the organism in Eukaryota, Metazoa, Chordata, Aves, Gruiformes, Gruidae. The transcript is spliced from 4 exons. The record is from RefSeq and is a predicted model, not a curated record.
GUACUUUAGGCCUAAUAUUUUCUCUGCAGAAAAUAUAGUUUUCUAUGUAGCAGAUGUAGUUUGGCUACAUCUGAAAAUGCCAAUGGAUUAAGCCUAAAAUGAUUCAAGCUUCUGAGGUAUGAUGAAUUUCCACCAAAUCUAAGACAGGUCUGCCUGAACUCCUGCCUACAGUCCUGGUCCACUACUCCAGGAUUGGGUCUCUUUCCCAUCUUUUCCCCUCCAAACUGUUCACCUCUGUGGUAGACUUCUAGAUAUGCUCCAAAUCAGCAUCUCUAAAAUGGCCAAGUGGACUCACCCCAACAUUGAGACCUGAACUGCUCCAGGAUCAGGCACCAGGUAUCACUUUUCACUUGUGAAGUAACAAGAGACAAGUUUCUGGAAACAGGCAGUCUGAGCAAAAGCAAGCAAUUUAAGCGGUGUUAUCUCUUCACAUUGCUCAUGCACAAUUCAUGGGUUCUAGCCCAGCUGAAAUUUCUCAGGUUGACAAAGGCUUCUUCAAUCUGCAAGGGGCAAUGACACUUGUGGUUGGAAAGACUGUUGGGAAACCAAGGUAUCCUUAGGGGAGCAAGGAGGGAGUGCUCAUCUUGCCUAGAAGAGCUUGAGUUUUGCUUGGUAUGUGUAAAGGCUUUGAAAGCCUACUUAUAUUUUCUUACAUACCUAUGCUAUACAUUCACAGCAAGGUCAUCCAAUCUAGGCCUCUGUCAUUUCACCAUUAGCUUACUGGAACUAUUUAUCUGCUGGUACGUAAUUGAUGGACCUGGAGGUUUAGCAUUUCUCCACCCUGUCUUAAUGCUGUUUAGUACAUCGUGUUCCAAAACAGAUCGCAAAUGCCUGGGAUGUGGACUAGGGCACUUCUUACAAACCAUUUAACAAGCUGAGGUAUGAUACCCUAAGCUCUCUGCAGUCUAGGAGUUCUUCAUCUUGUUGUUCAUAUUUACAUGAAUUAUGAAUUGUGUGAUACUUGUUUAAGACUCCACUAUUUUAAACAGUUGGAUAAAUAAAUUUCUGUGGUACAAUUUAAUUAGCAGAGGUGCUUGGCACUGUUCAUUUUACAGAAACUGCCUAAGCCGAGCAGCUGUGAUACUCUUGUUUAGUCACCUCAUUAAUGACAAAGUGAAUGUUACAACUGUUUUCCCAAAUAGCAUGGUAGAGGUGUUUGAGGAAACAAUUUUCUUACAAAAAAAGGAGCCUUAGUUCAACUGCAAAUCCAUGAAAUGGACACCAUAAUUUUGUAUCUUGAAGUAUCCCAUUACAGUGGGGAAAUGUUGUGCCUGUUUGGAGUCCUGCCUUUUAGAGCAAGAUGAUACAUCAUUGGCUGCACUCAUGCACUGUAGCUCAGGUUUUAUAAAGGUGAAAUACAGAGCAUUUGAAUCCCACAAAUUUGAAGCCUAACAACACUUUAACAUUAAACUUCUUGCAAGACCUCCUGAAAUACUCAGGGUGUCAAAGAAACAGCACCUUAGAACCUACCUCUUUGCCAAAAGUUAUCCUGUACAGAUGCUCGACUGGAAUAACCAGAUUGAGAAAUGAUGAUGGGAACUCUUCUGAAAUAUCAAAGUGUAGUAUUUACUGAACAUGCAUCAGAGGCUUUGGUAUGUGGGUCAUCUUAAUGCUUCCAUCUUCUGGUACUGUGUCAUUUUUUUAUUGCGCAUACUCACUCUAUUAAUGCUUUGUCUUAUGCUGUGGUCCUUUAAUGCUGCUUCUUGUAAAGCUCCCAUUUUGUUUAAAAUUUGAUUGUAACUGGGUUCACCCUGUGUGACUAUGAGGGGGAGACCUAUAAACCCAUCGUGUCUUAAACCGUGUUAUCCUUUAGGCAUCACUAUUACUCUCAGGAUGUUAAGAUCUUAAGAACAUGUUUGUGUUCUCUAUAUACUGUCUUAGCUUGUGAGUGAGCCACAAAAACAAGUUUGGAUUGAAAAAGCAAAUGUACUAGUUCUUGCUUUGUUAUGGUCAGGUUUUAAGACUGUCUUUGGACACUUUGAAAAUUUUAAAUAUGAUGGGUUUUUACAGUUUGUUCUUUGACACUCAGAGCCUCAGUUUUGUUUGUCUUCUGAAUGAAAUAACAACUGGUCUUUGGGUUUUUUGAGAUCCAUGACUCUUCUGAAAGACUUGAGCUGUCAUUUAGCAUGAACAAAUGUACAUAUGAAUAAUAACAUACUGUCUCCGAAUUCUUCCUGCAGUUCUACCUGCACUUCAAUCCUGCUGUGAUGGCUGGAUUUGCUCAAUCAAUCAGGAAACCUGCAGACACUCACAUAAUGGUCACCAUAAGUGCUCCUCAGAUUACCUUUCUAAUUGGUUGUUGUUUCCCCUUGCAUGUGGUUGGAAGUGCACUAGGUGGUAUUUCUGCUAAAAUCUCAGUCUUUCCCUGUCCUUGAUGGUAGCGUGCAGUCUCUAGGCAUCAGACAGCUCCUGUUUUUAGCAAGAGUUGUCUGUACCUCUCCAGUAUCUAUGUAUUUAGGUAACUGUAUGGCAAUGAAUGAAAGCUCCAAUGUAUAGGAGAUUAGAAAGAUUCAAUGUCUAUCUUACCAAUUAUUCCUUGCUGGAAGGUUUUAUUCAAUAUUAUUCCAAUAAUUAAAAAAACCCCAAACCUACAAAUAAAACUCAAACACAAAAAAAAUCCCCUCCCCCCAAAAAAACCCCAACAACUUACCGACAGUCAAACUAAACUAUAGUUUUCUUAAUUUUGUCUAAUUAUGGCACAAGACAGCCCUUGUGUAAGCCUAUAGGAACUUUUGCCUUGCCUGUUAUUUAUAAGCUUUCAUAUUAUGUGAGAGGCUUUAAAUUUCUCUGGAUAAAUUAUGUGUCGGUAAAAUAUUGAUUCUUUUUAAUUAACAUGUUCAUUAAUAAUGAUGUUUAAUUAGUUCAGACAGACCUGCACUGCAAAUUGGCCUGUAUGUUUCUUUCUCCAAAUAUGGAUUAAAAUUAAGCUUUAUAGUUUUAUACUGAGCUUUUUAAGCUGAAAACAAUAGUCAAAAGGAGUAAACAAAUGCAGGAUUGUUCCAGUACUCUGCUUCCCCAGCAUGUGAUAUUCUAAAAAUAUAGAAGUACCUAAGACCACUUUAAGUGUCAAAGAAUUUCUGCAAAAUUAAGUCCUUCAAACUGUCUACAAAGCUCCCCCUCAGAAGUUUCUUUAAUUAGUUGUACGGAUUUUGAACAGCUAUGAUUCUGCUGCACUACAGUCUGAGUCUGACAGCCUAAAAUUGUAAACGGGGGAGAACAUUUUUCAUGUCCUUUUUACAGAAGUGUAGACUAUGGACACAAAUGAAUGCAUUGUUGAUAAAUCAAAGGGGAGGAGGAUCCUUUGGCCACAGCAACUUGACAUGCUUCCAACCUUCUCCAGGACUGUUACAGCCCACUUAUUUUACCUUUGCUACUUCAGCUCCCUCAUACUAAUUUCACUUUUGGAGGGGUGUGCUGGGCAGAGAAAGCUGAUGCUGGUCAGAUAGCUACUGCUGUCAGGAAAUAACUCAUUGUACAUGAAGGCUUAUUCCACACUUCCUACUUGCAGUGUGCUUCCUCUCAGGCCACGGAGCCCUAGCCACAUGAUUUUUAGAUACCAGGGACUUUCCUGUGAUCAUAGGAGGAUUAGGUAACUGCCCUACUGCUUGUUGCCUCCCUGCUGGGGGUUUAGGAUUUGAUCCAAACCCAACAGAAAUCUGGACAGAAUCUCACUGACUGACACUGGUUUUUAAAGUCAGACUCUAUAAAGACAGUCUUCAUGGAGUAGAAAAUUUGAAUAAAUGUGAUCAACUGAAAUGACUGCUUUUUCCUAAAGUCUCCACCCUGCAUCCAGCAGUCCCAUCAACCUUCAAUGUGAAUGUAUAUGCUGGGGGCCUAGCAAGAACACAGGCCUUACAGAUUUUUCACCAAAUUAAAGAUAUUCUGGACUUUUGGCAUUUUCUAGCCCAGCCUCCUGCUCAAAGCAGUACUACCAGCAGUGCUGGAUCAGGUCAGCCACGUCUUUGCCUAGCUGAGUCUAGAAAACCUUAAAGGAUGGAGACUCUGCAACCUGAGUGGCCUGUUCCAGUACUGCACUACCCACAUGGUGAAAAAGUUUCUCACAUCUGGCUUGAACUUCUGAAGUGCAGACAUCUGCCCAUGCCACUGGUCAUUAUCUGCCACUAUGGAGAAGAACAUGACUCUGUCUUCACAACUGACCUUCAAGUUGCUGUAGGCCUCUAGUAGAGCUCCCCCCAGCUUCAUUCACCUAACCAAACAAGACUGGCUCCCUCAGCCUCUCCUUGUAAGGUAUGUGCUCUAGGGCACCAUCUUGGUAGCUGUCUACUGCAUCCUCUCCAGUUUCUCAACAAUUUCUUUGAACUGAGGCCCCUAAAGUUGACUGCAGUAUUUCUGAUGCAGCCUCACCAUUUCUGAGAACUAAGGCAGAAUGACUUCUUUCACUUUGCUGACUGCAUUUCUAACGUAGCCCAGUAUGCAAUUUUCCCCCUUUGUGAUGGGAGCACACUGUUGGCUCAUGAUCAACUUAACUUCCAUCAUAACCACUACGUCCUUUUCAGCAGGGCUACUUGACAGCCAGUUGAUCCUUAUUUCUUCUUUGCAACAUGUUACCCCUAUGCUUACCCACCCUGUAACCAGAAAACCCAGCAACUUUCAUCCUGUUUUAAGAUCAACUUGACUUAAAAAGUUUAGAGGGAUUUUGUACUUGUGUACUUGUUAGCUGGAUCUACUACAGAGAUAAGCAUCAGUUGCACAAUCUGCGAGCAGUUCUACGUGCUUGGGUAUCUGGGCUGUAUGCAGUGUGGUGUUUUACACUCUUCUAUAGCUUUCCCACUUUCCCUCUUGGCAUUCCUCAUUGUGGCAAAAAGUAGCUAUCCAACCUCUUUUUCUGUAAUUGCUCUCGCUAACUACAGGCAGUAAACAAAUUAGCCUGUGAAAACGCAUGU